This 1427-nucleotide unclassified non-coding RNA is filed under the name Leishmania donovani. Its description in RNAcentral is "gene:LdHU3.16.0050(CDS-product:Phytanoyl-CoA_diox ygenase_(PhyH)/2OG-Fe(II)_oxygenase_superfamily_putative)". The record is from RNAcentral. Lineage: Eukaryota; Euglenozoa; Kinetoplastea; Trypanosomatida; Trypanosomatidae.
CAGGGCGUGUGCCCCUCCCACCUGCCUGCCUGCCUGCCUGCCUGCCUGCCUCCCGGCAACUCGGACUUGGUGGGUGGCGUUUGCGGGAGCCACCUGCCAGCGCCCACGUGGGUGCUUCGUCUCAGCAUUGUGUAGGGCACAUGAGCAUGCGGCCAUGUUCAGCUACAACAACAUCAUAGAGAAGGGGGAACCCCUCAACAAGGAGAUCAUUGACCAUGUAUUUGACCAUGUGACCGAGUUCCCGACGCCGGCGAUGGUGCCCGUAGGCGACGGCAAGGCCGACUGCAUUGUGCUCGAAAACUUUUUGACGCACGAAGAGUGCGACCAACUCGUGGCGGCCUGCGAGAAGGUGGGCUACACUUUCUGGCUCCAGAAAAACCACCACGACGCCGACGGAGAAGCCACGUGCGACAGCGCCUCUAAAGCGGUGCGCGUCGUGGACACCAUCGAGGCGAACUUUCCGCACCUCUCGGCGAAGCUGUACGAGCGCAUUGCCCGUGUCGUCUCUCUCAAGCCGAAGUUUUUUUCGGAAGAUAUGCCUAACGCCGAAGAGUUUUUCGAGCGUGAGCUCGCCGGCACGUGGGUGCCCCACGCCCUCUCCGAAAAUCUUCUGUUCGGCCGCUACCACCCCGGUGGCCACUUUAUGCCCCACGUGGACGGUUCCACCAUUUUGGACCUCAAUACCCGCUCCUUCUACACGCUGCUCAUCUACCUCAAUGACUGCUUGCAUGGCGGAGAGACCUUUAUCUUUGCGGGUGAGCAGUGCAACGUCCUGUACCUGGACGAGAAGGAGAACCAGUACCGCGGCAACGCAACGCAACGGGUGGGAGCCGUCUACCCCAAGAAGGGCUCAGCCGCAUUCUUCUACUACAACCUGCUACACGAAGGGGCGCCGGUGCUGCAGGGGCACAAAUACAUCUGCCGCGCAGACCUGCUCUACCACCGUACACCCGCCAUUUUCACUUCCGAGGCAGAUGUGAAGGCGUUUAAUGCGUACCAGGAGGCGCGCCUCGCCGAAAGUCACGGAGAUGCCGAGCGGGCGUGCCAGCUAUUCCAGCGUGUUCGCAAGCUCUCCAAGGGUGUCGCAUCCAUUUUCCAGAUCGAGUAAAUGCGCGCAGCAAAAAAAAAGAAAGAGAAAGCGUCAACAUGACUUUGCUCCCUCCAGCAUUUGUAAACUCCAGGUACUUGUGCUUGUGGCCAAAGUAGCGGGUGCUGCUUCUCCACCUUCUGAACCCGACAGCAGCCAUGAUCCACCUUGUUCUGUUGGUGGACGUAUUCUCGCCGAUCUUGGCACACUGCGCAGCGUAGCGUCCUCCCCUCCCCCUUCUGACGGACGCUGCAAAUAAAGUAAGGCUGGCUGGUUGGCGUAUCCACGCAAACCAGGAGGAGAGGCGACACCGCAUCCUAAACGAGUUUUCUGUUUCCAC